GAUGAACGCUGGCGGUAUGCUUUACACAUGCAAGUCGUACGAAAGUUUUUAACUUUAGUGGCGGACGGGUGAGUAACGACGUGAGAAUUUACCUUUAGGACGGGAAUAACAGUUGGAAACGACUGCUAAUGCCGCAUAUAAUUAGUAAUAAAUGAAAGAAGUAAUUUCGUCCUAAAGAAAAGCUUGCGUCUGAUUAGCUAGUUGGUAAGGGUAAUGGCCUACCAAGGCGACGAUCAGUAGCUGGUUUGAGAGGAUGACCAGUCAC
RNAcentral lists this ribosomal RNA (265 nucleotides) under uncultured cyanobacterium. Its description in RNAcentral is "partial 16S ribosomal RNA". It matches the Rfam family "Bacterial small subunit ribosomal RNA", at positions 28 to 311 of the family's 1533-position model. Lineage: Bacteria; Bacillati; Cyanobacteriota. The record is from RNAcentral.